GAGAGUUUGAUCAUGGCUCAGAAUCAACGCUGGCGGCGCGCUUAACACAUGCAAGUCGAACGAGAAAGUGGAGCAAUCCAUGAGUAAAGUGGCGUACGGGUGAGUAACACGUGGGUAAUCUGCCUCUGGGUGGGGAAUAACUCUGGGAAACCGGAGCUAAUACCGCAUAAGACCGCAAGGUGAAAGGUGAAAAUCGCCGAGAGAGGAGCCCGCGGCCGAUUAGCUAGUUGGUGGGGUAAGAGCUCACCAAGGCUGAGAUCGGUAGCCGGCCUGGGAGGGCACACGGCCACACUGGCACUGAAACACGGGCCAGACUCCUACGGGAGGCAGCAGUGGGGAAUCUUGCACAAUGGGGGCAACCCUGAUGCAGCGACGCCGCGUGAGCGAUGAAGCCCUUCGGGGUGUAAAGCUCUUUCGGCAGGGACGAUAAUGACGGUACCUGAAGAAGAAGCUGCGGCUAACUACGUGCCAGCAGCCGCGGUAAUACGUAGGCAGCGAGCGUUGUUCGGAGUUACUGGGCGUAAAGCGUGCGUAGGCGGCAGUCCAAGUCUGGUGUGAAAUCUCCCGGCUCAACCGGGAGGGUGCGCCGGAAACUGGGCUGCUGGAGUGCGGGAGAGGUAAGCGGAAUUCCCGGUGUGGCGGUGAAAUGCGUAGAUAUCGGGAGGAACACCUGCGGUGUAGACGGCUUACUGGACCGCCACUGACGCUGAGGCACGAAAGCGUGGGUAGCAAACAGGAUUAGAUACCCUGGUAGUCCACGCCCUAAACGAUGCAUACUUGGUGUGGGCAGUUCAGUCUGUCCGUGCCGAAGCUAACGCGAUAAGUAUGCCGC
Molecule: ribosomal RNA, 832 nt
Filed under: uncultured bacterium
Lineage: Bacteria
Description: bacterial SSU rRNA
Rfam family: Bacterial small subunit ribosomal RNA
Source: RNAcentral